CAGGAAUGCUGCAUGGCCUCCCUAGAGCGGCGGUGGGAGCCUCGGCCGGGGAGAGCCCGCUCGGGGGCAGGAAGUGGCCCGGCCCUCCUCGUGGAGGGUGUUUCCGGAGCGCCUACUGUGCUCCUCGCCGGAGUGGGGGUCGUUACCGAGGGGGAACUUCUGUAAAUCGUGACUUUUGUCAUUUCGCGCCCCCCACAAGAUGUCCUGCCGGCGGUGCGAUUGCUCCCGUUGCUUCGAGGGGAAACUGAGGCCAGUUAGUCCGGGCACUUACCCUCAGCUGGUAAAGGACUGGGCUCUGAUGGGGACGCCUGUUAUGACCUCAAGGGCCUAUAGAGUCUGGGAGGCCGCCUCCGACCUAAGCCCAAAAAGCACAUGGUCGGGCUCACAGGGGGCGGCCAGAGGUGAAAAUUGCCAGUGUUUUGCAGCGACGCUGUGCGGGGCACUUCGUGUGUGUCAUCCCGUCUCAUCCUCGGGUGAUGGGAACUGUUCAUUCGGGAAGAUUGCAAACAGCUAAAUACCCCUCACCAGGAGCUGGCCCAUUAUAGCAACUCUGAGACCUCUCUACCGCAGGCUCUGAAAAUGGGAAAGAGGCCUCAGGGAAGAGGCUGGCUACCAAGAAGUCACAGAACUGGCUCCAGACCCCAGGACUCCUGGCAGCAGGGCCCCAGGACAAGGGACCACUUUGCUACCUCCUCUGUUAUAACGUGACUGAGGCUGUGGGCGUGCCUCUCCCAGGACCCCCUUUUCUGGACAUGCAGGGCAGGACACAUGCUUCAGGGGCAGCCUCAACUAUACGGAGCAAGCGGCAUGCUAGACAAGUGCCAAGCAUGGACCCCACGCAGUGAUGGACGUGAGCCCCCAGCUCAAAGACGACACACGGAGAAGGGAGCCAAGCAGCACUGACCGAUGUGGGCAGCGUUAUUGCCGACCAGGAAUUUGUCCCUGGACUUCCCCUCCGCACUGCUCCAUGCUCACCUUCCUCUUCUCGGGUGUCUCCACCAGCUGCCAGCUGUUGGCCUUGAGGUGGUAGAGUUCAUCGAACUUCAUGCUGAUGUCCUCGAUGGACAGCUGUAGCAGGUCCCAGAACCCUGCCAGGUCCUGGGCUGUGGGGCGUGGGUUGGCAUCAGGGUUCUGUGGGCCAGAUGGGGAUCAGUGGGGCAGGCUCAGCAGAGGCUUGUCCUGCUCACCCGACCUCCCCGUCUCCGACCCCGCCAUCUCCGCUUCCCCCGCCCCGCGCCCUGCUGAAGCAUGUUUCCUCUGGCCCCACCAGUACCCAAGGGGGCUCUUGAGGCCUAGUGUCUGGGUCAGUAUCUGUAUGAAUGAAUCUAAGCCACUUCUGGUCAGCACCAGCCUUAGUGGUGGAGAUCCUUGGGGAUAGCCUAUAAGGCUGUGGUGAGGAAAGCACUCCUGUCCCUAAUGUAUGCCAAGCAGACAGUUGUUUUGCAAGGAAGAAAUACAAGUUUUUGGCCA
This is a long non-coding RNA of Chlorocebus sabaeus (green monkey), 1470 nucleotides long. RefSeq lists it as uncharacterized. The record is from RefSeq and is a predicted model, not a curated record. NCBI's taxonomy places the organism in Eukaryota, Metazoa, Chordata, Mammalia, Primates, Cercopithecidae.